This 447-nucleotide ribosomal RNA is filed under the name uncultured bacterium. RNAcentral's name for it is "partial 16S ribosomal RNA". It matches the Rfam family "Bacterial small subunit ribosomal RNA", at positions 29 to 523 of the family's 1533-position model. The record is from RNAcentral.
AGCGAACGCUGGCGGCAGGCUUAACACAUGCAAGUCGUACGGUCCUUCGGGAUAGUGGCGGACGGGUGAGUAACACGGGGGAACGUACCCUUAGGUGCGGAACAACACAGGGAAACUUGUGCUAAUACCGGAUAAGCCCUUCGGGGGAAAGAAUUAUUGCCUUUGGAGCGGCCCGCGUCUGAUUAGCUUGUUGGUGAGGUAAUGGCUCACCAAGGCUACGAUAAGUAGCUGGUCUGGGCGGAUGGCCAGCCACACCUGGACUGAGCCACGGCCCAGACUCCUACGGGAGGCAGCAGUGGGGAAUCUUGCUCAAUGGGCGAAAGCCUGACGCAGCCAUGCCGCGUGGAUGAUUAAGGUCUUAGGAUUGUAAAAUCCUUUCACCGGGGACGAUAAUGACGUUACCCGGAGAAGAAGCCCCGGCUAACUUCGUGCCAGCCGCCGCCGUAA